This is a long non-coding RNA of Bombus terrestris (buff-tailed bumblebee), 3733 nucleotides long. RefSeq lists it as uncharacterized. The record is from RefSeq and is a predicted model, not a curated record. The transcript has 2 exons. NCBI's taxonomy places the organism in Eukaryota, Metazoa, Arthropoda, Insecta, Hymenoptera, Apidae.
ACGUACGUGGAUCCGUUUUUUCACCGAUAAUUCGAUGAAUGAAAACUCGUCGCUCAUACGUCACUCUACAUUACAUCAUUUUCUCAACAGUAUCUUUUCUCUCUCUUCCCUUUGCUAUAUCCCACCAGACUAUCCGAAAAUCGACAUAUUUUUGGUUUCAAAUAAAUUUGAAUUAGGUUACUUAAAAGGGUGUUUUUUUUUUUUUUUUUAAUAUUUCAAUCCUUAAAAGUCGAAAGCAACGAAAUUUAACUCUUCUGGCAUUAUCGGAUCAUAGGUGACCGUAAUAUUCAAAAAUCGGAAACUUUACAGUGUCAACAUCAUAUUUGCAUUAUGAAAAACAAAAAGUGCGAAUGCGAAUCAUCUAGAUUUCUCGAAAUUCCCCCUCGUUUCACGGUACACGAAUAUCGUGAACUUAUUGCUUGUUUACCCCUUCCCUCUGUUUCACGAAUUUAUUUGCCUACACAUCCUAUUAAUUCGCUCGUGGGGUUCGACCGAUUGGGUAUACUUUCCGCCAAAACACCAGCGGUUUCAACCACCGACGGCUUUAAAGUAAACGUUGAAGGGUGAUUUCGAAGCACGCGCGUGAGGAGAUACACCCGCUGAUACCAUAUACAUACAAUACAUAUGUAAACGGAGGGGAAGAUAUUUGAACAUCGGAAUGAAAAACAUCGAUAUUUUUCAACGAAUAAUAUUGAUUUCGUUUCUUCCGCCAGAUUUCUCCACUCUACCGAAAUUCAUUAAAAGUACCAAAAGAUUAUACAAAUAAUAUCCCAACGAUUUCGAGGAAAUAUCUAUUUCGUCCUAUACAGUGCGAACCACGAUACGUGGUUAGCUUAGAUCAAUCUAUAGUCGACCGACCGAACAUUUUUUUGAUAGAUAUAACAUGAUUCCAAGACAGCUUUAAGACGACCGUAAUGGGCUUUUCGUUAACUCUUGUUAAUUCUUCGGAGUUUUUAAGGUCACAUUCAGGUUUUUGUAGAUAAAAGCCUGUCUUUUUUUUUACACCUAUCUUUUAGCAGAUAUCGAGAAGAAUGCGACAAAUGUAACAAAUAUCUUUUUUUCCAUCUGAAUCGCAGAAGUAUUAAAAAAGUGUCUGUCGACUGUAAUACACCUGCGUAGACGGCAAAUUAAUUACCGUUUAGCAAAUGUCGACUGUUAUUUUUCUAACAUUUCUUCGAUUCUAAUAGUAAAAAUUUAAAAAAAUUAUUGGUUUAUUUAAAAACUGAAGUGAAUGAAGCGUGACCUUGGAAACUGUGGGAGAAAAGGAGAGAUGAUAAAAAUGUAUUAUAAUCAUCUUAAAUCUCUACGAACCAUAUUGUAUAUCGCUAACGGCGAAAUAAUUUAAGCUAAUCAUAUUUUGCGAUUCACUCUGUGUAUAUCUCGCUUCAUUUUAAUAACUUACUUAUAGUGCAAUGGGCUAGAAACCGCGAGAAAAUGGCAAAAGUCAUUUUUUAUACUAUAGUUAUGGUAUACUAUAAUGUGAAGUCUUCAAAGCUCCAAAAUCCAAGAUACUAUUCAUUUCAGAUAAUUCUGUGAUCUUGGGUACAGUUCUGAAAACAAGAUCCAAAAAUUUUAAAUAAAGCUAAUUGCUGCAUGUGCCUGUUCUAGAAUAUUAAUGUAUCAUAAUUGUAUCAUAAGUAUUUGUUCAAGGUACAAAUAGUGCAAAGUUUAUAACAAUUAAAAGUUUGAUAAUGUUUUUAAAAAAAAUGAUUAAUAGCGAUAAGUAUCGGACCUGUUUCGUAUGAAAGAUUAAAUUGCUGCUAAGAGGAAUAUACAAAUUUCAAGUGCAGCCUCCUGCAGCUUUUAACUCUGUUCCGAUUUUAACCAAUAAAUGAUAAUUUCUAUCGUUUUGGACGCCUGUAGCUGCAUAAUACAUACAUAAAGCUGAUCCUACUUGAAGAGGGAUUUAAAAGAUGAGGGUUGAGUUUCAUCGCGAAAAUUUUACUCGUUGUUAGUAUUCGUUGUUACAAAUGCUAGAUAUUGAUUUUCUCAUAGCAUAUUUCUAUUCCAUGGUAUUAGUCUUGGCGAAUGUGCACAGUGAAACAUGCCUCGUAUUCUUAAAUUUUGUUUGAUUUUAUAUAUUUUUAAAAUCUAAAAGUUCUAUGUAAUCUAUUUAUUACACCUAUUAUUACUUAUUAUAAUUUUUAAUGUUACGUAUCUUAUAGUUAUAUAUAGCGUUCAUAAGCUAAUUACACGUCAUUAAUUUAUAAGUAUAUGUACAUUAUAAAAUUUAGAACAAUUCGAAGCCGAACUUUGGUUUGGGAUGCUACUUGUCUUAAAGCUAUCUGAUGGUAAUCGGUGAAUAGAAACGAAAUACACCGAUUUUGAGUGUCACAGUCUAUUGAUUCUAAAGUUAUACGUGUUAAAGUUUGACACUUUUAAUUAAAUCAUAAAAAAAGUCGAAUUAAAUAGUAAAUCCGCGUAUAUUGUCGGGAAGAAUAUAGUGCGGGCCGCUUGCAAAAUAGUUGGGGAAAGUGUACGUGCACAGUGUAAUAGAUGGGCUUACGAAGACUGUAUCGGUCGGGAAACAACAAAACUUAAUUUAAAUGAACAACGAUAACGCUAUCAAAAGUGAUUAAAGACAAUAAUAUAUAAUAUAAAGAUAAUAUUUUCGUUUUAUCGUUAUUUUAAGUAGCGAAAUAGAAUUUUUUAAUUUCAUUUCUUUCGUCCUUUCCUUCAUUAUGAAAGUAUCUACCAAGUACAGUUUGGUUUACACAAUAUACUUUAUUAAUCAUAAAGUCGCAAAAUUAAGUAUACGGUUUUAUACUGAUUUCCCUUAGAUGAUGUUAGCAAAUACUGAAACAAUGUUUUGCCACCAAACUAUCCGAGGGAAAUGCAAUAGAAGCAAGAAAUAAAUUUUAUAAACAAGGUAGACAAUAUCGCGCACGGAAAAAUAGCAGGAUAAAUUACCUCGGAGGCGUAUUUAAAUGAAGCCCUGGGUACUUCAGACCUGUUUAUCUCGAGUAUAUCUUUCAUAAACACGAUUCAGCGACGUGAGAAGCGAGACAAACAUGAUCUGAAAGCGAAGAAAAUAUGAAAUAAUGAAUAACUUCUACUAGAAGUUAUAUCGUUACCUCGAUAAUUAAAAAUGACGACGAAGACUCUGAUGGUGAUGAAGAUAAUCAGCGUAUAUACAUGUAAUUUACCUCGCUAUUUAGACAACGUGGAAAUUAAUUCGCAGCAUUGCCAGGAUCGGAUUAUGGUUUCGCGAGAAGGCUAGAGGCUACACCGAAAAGAUCACAAAUUACUUACAACAAUUUAGUAGCAACAACAGCAUAUUAAAAAGGCUGUCAUGCCGAUUCUUUAAUAUCGUAUAAAAUUAUACGAAGCACAUUUCUGAUAAAUAUUGUCAAAAUUAGUGGUUUUCGUGGUUGACUUGUACGUAUGUUUCAGCUUCACAGUUGACAAUUGACGAUGUUAAAAACAGCCUGUAAACUGUAUACAUAUAUAUUUGGAAAAAUAUAUGUAAGAUUCGAAUUGAUUAUAUAAUUUGUAACUUUUAUAAAAUUUAGCUUAAAAAUUUAAUACUGAAAUCAAGGUGUUCUUAAAGCAUAGAGCCUGGGGCUGCAAACUUACUUAUCCCUCCCUCUUAUUCUGAACCUAAAUUAAUAUUUCGCGUAAUAUCUUCCUGUUACAGGAAUGAAUCUCGUGCUAUUUUUCUGCCCUUUGCACAAUACCACGCAUAAAUCCCACGAAUUUAAUUUCUCUUAAUUAAAUUAAAUUGUAUUAAAUU